ACUGUGGCUAAUGUCCAUCUAGAUGUGCGCAUUUUUAUUAGUUACAGAUUUUUGGUACCAUGAGCAGCGGGUUUCGGCGGCCGCGGUCGGCGCUGCCGUCGUGUCUAGUGCGCGCCCCUCUGACCGGCGCCAUGAGAGCGGCUUCGCCGGUGGAUCUCAUGGACAGUGCGUGCAUCAUUAACCUUCUAUAGUCCUCCGCGGCGAAUCGCAUCACAUCGCCGGCCAGAGCGCCGGCCAUCUGGCCGUUCCCCUUUGCGGUGUGGUACGCCGUCUCGGCCGAAGCUGCAAUCUCCUCCGGCGCCCGCGUUGCUGAGCGGAGUUUCGUCAUGCAGCAGCAGCGCCGGCAACUCCUAUCCAUCUACCAAAGAAAGUGGCAUUAUCUUAUCCAUUCAGUAUGCAUCUUUUCCUCUUUACUGUGCGUUUGCACGAACAGGUGCAUAUCUCCCUUUGCCUUACCAUUUCCUCUUUGUAUUAAAUAAAUUUGAGCAGCGUAUGUUUGCAUCUUGCUGUAAAGUGUACUUGAGAGACGAUGGUAGAGGAGUCAUCAAGGAAAUUGCUGGCAGAUGCAGCUACGAAAUUACUUGUUCCAGUAUUUUCUAUUAUUUGUGAAAUUGGAUUUGACUGGUAGGCUAUGUAAGAAAGAAAUUUUAUAGUAAUUGAGAAAAUGCUCUUGGUUCUUCAAUGGCUCUGUAACUUUAGAGCCACGUCCCUAAUGCAUACAUAUAUAACUGGUAUUGAUCUUGUCAAAUCAGUUGUUAGCCCUUGCUCGCAUAUUUUUGUUUACCUGUAAAUGCAGAGAGAAGUACCUUGCUGACAAAUAUAAUAUUUCAGAGAUAACCAUUUAAAACAAUUUUAAAAACCAAUUUAAAACAGAUAAGGCUGCUAUGUCUUUCCAGAAAAAAAAGGCUGCUAUGUCUGCAAUACAUUAUAUUUGGUCAUUUAAGAAUGUUUGUAUUUGUUCUUAACUUCUAAUUCUAGUUAUUAAAAAAAUAUCUAUAAUAUAUCCUUGUAAACAAUGUUUUUUGCAACCUUGUCGGAUGGACGCUCUUCAUCUGAUAUAAGUAUCCGCAAUCCGUUUCUGCUGGUAACCCUUGACAUUGCAACAUAGAGUUGGCCAUGUGUGAACACUUGCCUUUCUAAGUAGAGUCCAACCUUUUUGAGAGAUUGCCCCUGACUUUUGUUUAUUGUCAUAGCAAAGCACACUGAUAUUGGGUAUUGUCUCCUUUUCAGAAUGAAAGGCCAUUUUGAAUCACUUGGUGACAUAAUAAUUCGUGGGAUGUAAACUUUGCCACCAAUGUUAGUACCUGUUAUGACCUGGCCUUCGAUGAAACGCUUUCCUAGCUGCGUUAUUGUUAGUCUUGUCCCAUUGCAAAGUCCUGCACUUUGAUUGAUGUUCCUCAUAAGCAUUACUGGAAUUUGACUCAUGAUGUAGGUGUUAAUCUGGUCAACAGUCUCGUUCCUUGGGCACAGGAUCGCUCUUUCCUCUAGUAUCCAGUUUGCAAAUUCAGCUGUCUUUGCUUUCUCUUCUGGACUACCUUCGGAUGAAUUCAGACGCAUAUUUUCUGAUUUGUCUGAAGUCACCUCCCAAGACUACUGUCAUAGGUGCUUCAUCCCAUAUUAUCAGUGAAGUUUUCUUUAUUAGUUCCGCGAGAAAUGUUCCUUGCUUGAUGUUGCAUGUUGACUCGUUUGUGAUUUUGAGCGGAAUGUGAAAUCUUGAAUGAGAUGUUCCUCCACCCUGUAAAAGAAGUGCUGCUAUACCACUUGAAGCUACUGCUAGAACUAUUUUUCCUUCGGAUCUUAAUUUUGUCGUGACUGCUUUCCACAGAAAUGUCUUUCCAGUUCCACCAUAUCCGUCAACGAAAAUCAGUUUUCCACAACUGCUGCUAACUGAUUCUAUUAUAACAUCAAAAGCCAUCCUCUGAUCUUGAUUUAGCUUUUGUAGUAACUCUGUGUGCUCUAUUCUUAAAGAAUCUUUAUCGUAGUUUAGUUCCUCAUUUACUAAUCUAUUAUUUAU
This is a non-coding RNA of Aegilops tauschii subsp. strangulata, 2014 nucleotides long. The record is from RefSeq and is a predicted model, not a curated record. Lineage: Eukaryota; Viridiplantae; Streptophyta; Magnoliopsida; Poales; Poaceae.